AUUGAACGCUGGCGGCAUGCUUUACACAUGCAAGUCGAACGGCAGCGCGGGCUUCGGCCUGGCGGCGAGUGGCGAACGGGUGAGUAAUACAUCGGAACGUGCCCAGUAGUGGGGGAUAGCUCGGCGAAAGCCGGAUUAAUACCGCAUACGACCUGAGGGUGAAAGCGGGGGAUCUUCGGACCUCGCGCUAUUGGAGCGGCCGAUGGCAGAUUAGCUAGUUGGUGGGGUAAAGGCCUACCAAGGCGACGAUCUGUAGCUGGUCUGAGAGGACGACCAGCCACACUGGGAGUGAGACACGGCCCAGACUCCUACGGGAGGCAGCAGUGGGGAAUUCUGGACGAUGGGCGAAAGCCUGAUCCAGCAAUGCCGCGUGUGUGGUGAAGGCCUUCGGGUUGUAAAGCACUUUUGGCGGGAACGAAAAGGACUGUGCCAAUACCACGGUUCGAUGACGGUACCCGCAGAAUAAGCACCGGCUAACUACGUG
RNAcentral lists this ribosomal RNA (484 nucleotides) under uncultured bacterium. RNAcentral's name for it is "partial 16S ribosomal RNA". It matches the Rfam family "Bacterial small subunit ribosomal RNA", at positions 29 to 507 of the family's 1533-position model. The record is from RNAcentral.